UACAGGGGGUGCAAGCGUUGUUCGGAAUUACUGGGCGUAAAGGGUUCGUAGGUGGCCACUUAAGUCAGACGUGAAAUCCCUCAGCUUAACUGGGGAACUGCGUCUGAUACUGAGUGGCUUGAGUGCAGGAGAGGGAUGCGGAAUUCCAGGUGUAGCGGUGAAAUGCGUAGAUAUCUGGAGGAACACCGGUGGCGAAGGCGGCAUCCUGGACCAAUACUGACGCUGAGGAGCGAAAGCCAGGGGAGCGAACGGG
Molecule: ribosomal RNA, 253 nt
Filed under: uncultured bacterium
Lineage: Bacteria
Description: partial 16S ribosomal RNA
Rfam family: Bacterial small subunit ribosomal RNA
Source: RNAcentral